AGAGCGAACGCUGGCGGCAGGCCUAAUACAUGCAAGUCGAACGGAUCCUUCGGGAUUAGUGGCGGACGGGUGAGUAACACGUGGGAACGUGCCCUUUGGUUCGGAACAACUCAGGGAAACUUGAGCUAAUACCGGAUGUGCCCUUCGGGGGAAAGAUUUAUCGCCAUUGGAGCGGCCCGCGUCUGAUUAGCUAGUUGGUGAGGUAAAGGCUCACCAAGGCUUCGAUCAGUAGCUGGUCUGAGAGGAUGAUCAGCCACACUGGGACUGAGACACGGCCCAGACUCCUACGGGAGGCAGCAGUAGGGAAUCUUGCGCAAUGGGCGAAAGCCUGACGCAGCCAUGCCGCGUGAAUGAUGAAGGUCUUAGGAUUGUAAAAUUCUUUCAGCGGGGACGAUAAUGACGGUACCCGCAGAAGAAGCCCCGGCUAACUCGUGCCAGCAGCCGC
Molecule: ribosomal RNA, 445 nt
Filed under: uncultured bacterium
Lineage: Bacteria
Description: SSU rRNA
Rfam family: Bacterial small subunit ribosomal RNA
Source: RNAcentral